RNAcentral lists this long non-coding RNA (592 nucleotides) under Elaeis guineensis (African oil palm). RNAcentral's name for it is "long non-coding RNA (EGUI_LNC012749)". The record is from RNAcentral. Lineage: Eukaryota; Viridiplantae; Streptophyta; Magnoliopsida; Arecales; Arecaceae.
ACCUCAUCAUAGAGUUGAUCUCAACUUAAGGCCGAGGUCGCCACAAAACCGACCUCAAUUGGAGACUGAGGUCACCAUAAAAUGGACCUCAAUGGGAGCCGAUCUCAACAGAAAGCUGAGAACAUUAAGAAGCUGAGCUCAAUCUAAAUUCAAUUUAAAUCAGAGGCUGAGUUCAUAUAAAGCCGACCUGAAUUGAAGGCCGAAUGCCGAUCUGAAUUGGAGGCUGAAUGCUGACCUGGUUCAACCUAACUCAUCUAAACACCGAUCUGAGCUACCUGAAUUGACUUUUGGUGAAGUAUUAUAAUCAGCUCAUAUAAAUAUCGAUUUGACUUAUUUCAGCUCAUAUAAAUACUGAUCUAAAGCAAAGUGUUCUAUAUAUCUGAAACAUCUGAUCUCAUAUGAUACUUGAUCUUACCUCAAUCGUUUAUCUAGAUGAGCCAUUACAUUAGUGGCAGCAAUCAUUCUACGAGAGUCCGUCACAAUCUCUAUAACUAGGCUACAGUUGGCCACAAUCUCACAUGCAGUUACGCUACAACUCAUCUCCAGCUGGCACAUACAGCUAAGUAUGAUCUCAUUUCUAGCUAAUAUAUAC